UACGUAGGGUGCAAGCGUUGUCCGGAAUUAUUGGGCGUAAAGAGCUUGUAGGCGGUUUGUCGCGUCUGCUGUGAAAUUUCGGGGCUCAACCCCGAACUUGCAGUGGGUACGGGCAGACUAGAGUGUGGUAGGGGAGACUGGAAUUCCUGGUGCAGCGGUGAAAUGCGCAGAUAUCAGGAGGAACACCGAUGGCGAAGGCAGGUCUCUGGGCCACUACUGACGCUGAGAAGCGAAAGCAUGGGGAGCGAACAGG
RNAcentral lists this ribosomal RNA (253 nucleotides) under uncultured bacterium. RNAcentral describes it as "partial 16S ribosomal RNA". It matches the Rfam family "Bacterial small subunit ribosomal RNA", at positions 524 to 776 of the family's 1533-position model. The record is from RNAcentral.